GAUGAACGCUGGCGGCGUGCCUAAUACAUGCAAGUCGAGCGAACGGACGAGAAGCUUGCUUCUCUGAUGUUAGCGGCGGACGGGUGAGUAACACGUGGAUAACCUACCUAUAAGACUGGGAUAACUUCGGGAAACCGGAGCUAAUACCGGAUAAUAUUUUGAACCGCAUGGUUCAAAAGUGAAAGACGGUCUUGCUGUCACUUAUUGAUGGAUCCGCGCUGCAUUAGCUAGUUGGUAAGGUAACGGCUUACCAAGGCAACGAUGCAUAGCCGACCUGAGAGGUUGAUCGGCCACACUGGAACUGAGACACGGUCCAGACUCCUACGGGAGGCAGCAGUAGGGAAUCUUCCGCAAUGGGCGAAAGCCUGACGGAGCAACGCCGCGUGAGUGAUGAAGGUCUUCGGAUCGUAAAACUCUGUUAUUAGGGAAGAACAUAUGUGUAAGUAACUGUGCACAUCUUGACGGUACCUAAUCAGAAAGCCACGGCUAACUACGUG
RNAcentral lists this ribosomal RNA (497 nucleotides) under uncultured bacterium. RNAcentral describes it as "partial 16S ribosomal RNA". It matches the Rfam family "Bacterial small subunit ribosomal RNA", at positions 28 to 507 of the family's 1533-position model. The record is from RNAcentral.